Danio rerio (zebrafish) is the source of this 72-nucleotide non-coding RNA. The record is from Rfam. NCBI's taxonomy places the organism in Eukaryota, Metazoa, Chordata, Actinopteri, Cypriniformes, Danionidae.
AGCAGAGAGGCGCAGCGGAAGCGUGCUGGGCCCAUAACCCAGAGGUCGUUGGAUUGAAACCAUCCUCUGCUA